Molecule: ribosomal RNA, 699 nt
Filed under: uncultured bacterium
Lineage: Bacteria
Description: bacterial SSU rRNA
Rfam family: Bacterial small subunit ribosomal RNA
Source: RNAcentral
GGAAUACGCUCUGGAAACGGAGAACAAAUCCCGAUGUACAGGAAGGAGGCAUCUUCUUUCUGUGAAACAUCCUUAGGGGAUGGGGCGCGGAUGGACCUGCGGUGCAUUAGUUUGUUGGCGGGGUAAAGGCCCACCAAGACGAUGAUGCAUAGCCGGCCUGAGAGGGCGGACGGCCACAUUGGGACUGAGACACGGCCCAGACUCCUGCGGGAGGCAGCAGUAGGGAAUUUUCGUCAAUGGGCGCAAGCCUGAACGAGCGAUGCCGCGUGAGUGAAGAAGGCCUUCGGGUCGUAAAGCUCUGUUGCGGGGGAAAAAAGGCAGCAUCAGGAAAUGGGUGCUGACUGAUGGUGCCCCGCCAGAAAGUCACGGCUAACUACGUGCCAGCAGCCGCGGUAAUACGUAGGUGGCGAGCGUUAUCCGGAAUGAUUGGGCGUAAAGGGUGCGCAGGCGGUCCUGCAAGUCUGGAGUGAAACGCAUGAGCUCAACUCAUGCAUGGCUUUGGAAACUGGAGGACUGGAGAGCAGGAGAGGGCGGUGGAACUCCAUGUGUAGCGGUAAAAUGCGUAGAUAUAUGGAAGAACACCAGUGGCGAAGGCGGCCGCCUGGCCUGUUGCUGACGCUGAGGCACGAAAGCGUGGGGAGCAAAUAGGAUUAGAUACCCUAGUAGUCCACGCCGUAAACGAUGAGGACCAAGUGUUGG